CAUGUAGGCGGUUGUUUAAGUCUGAUGUGAAAGCCCUGGGCUCAACCCAGGAAGUGCAUUGGAUACUGGACAACUUGAGUACGGGAGAGGAAAGUGGAAUUUCGAGUGUAGGGGUGAAAUCCGUAAAUAUUCGAAGGAACACCAGUGGCGAAGGCGGCUUUCUGGACCGAUACUGACGCUGAGAUGCGAAAGCGUGGGGAGCAAACA
RNAcentral lists this ribosomal RNA (207 nucleotides) under uncultured bacterium. RNAcentral's name for it is "partial 16S ribosomal RNA". It matches the Rfam family "Bacterial small subunit ribosomal RNA", at positions 568 to 774 of the family's 1533-position model. The record is from RNAcentral.